RNAcentral lists this ribosomal RNA (253 nucleotides) under uncultured bacterium. RNAcentral's name for it is "partial 16S ribosomal RNA". It matches the Rfam family "Bacterial small subunit ribosomal RNA", at positions 524 to 776 of the family's 1533-position model. The record is from RNAcentral.
UACAGAGGUCUCAAGCGUUGUUCGGAUUCAUUGGGCGUAAAGGGUGCGUAGGCGGUUUGGCAAGUCUGAUGUGAAAUCUAUGGGCUCAACCCAUAGUCUGCAUUAGAAACUGCCGGGCUUGAGUAUGGGAGAGGUGAGUGGAAUUUCCGGUGUAGCGGUGAAAUGCGUAGAUAUCGGAAGGAACACCUGUGGCGAAAGCGGCUCACUGGACCAUUACUGACGCUGAUGUACGAAAGCUAGGGGAGCAAACAGG